Molecule: ribosomal RNA, 253 nt
Filed under: uncultured bacterium
Lineage: Bacteria
Description: partial 16S ribosomal RNA
Rfam family: Bacterial small subunit ribosomal RNA
Source: RNAcentral
UACGUAGGGACCAAGCGUUGUUCGGAUUUACUGGGCGUAAAGGGCGCGUAGGCGGCCCGGUAAGUCACUUGUGAAAUCUCUGAGCUUAACUCAGAACGGCCAAGUGAUACUGCAGUGCUAGAGUGUGGAAGGGGCAAUCGGAAUUCUUGGUGUAGCGGUGAAAUGCGUAGAUAUCAAGAGGAACACCUGAGGUGAAGACGGGUUGCUGGGCCAACACUGACGCUGAGGCGCGAAAGCCAGGGGAGCAAACGGG